RNAcentral lists this ribosomal RNA (354 nucleotides) under Triticum aestivum (bread wheat). RNAcentral describes it as "partial small subunit ribosomal RNA". The record is from RNAcentral. Lineage: Eukaryota; Viridiplantae; Streptophyta; Magnoliopsida; Poales; Poaceae.
AUCGAGCCCUGGCAGGGUAGGUGGCUCUCGAAAGCGGCCCGUACGGUGCUCAUUAACUCGUCCCUCUCCAGCCUGCUAUUAUUCAUCAUGAGCUUCUACAGCCUUCCCGAGACUCUACAUCAUGAGAUUGCCACCGUUCAGGGGUGUUUCUUCUGGGCAGGCGAGGGUGAUAAGCAGAAGUACCACAUGGUCAGGUGGUCUGAGAUCUGCAAAACUCGCGACCAGGGCAGACUCGGGAUCAUGUCCUCCAAACGCAUGAACAUUGCCCUUCUGACUCGGUGGCUCUGGCGGAUUGCCAACGGAGAUGGUGGCCUGUGGCUUCGCAUCAUUCAGCAGAAAUACCUCCGUGGCUAG